GAUCUACCUGAACGUGGGGGAUAACGUAGGGAAACUUACGCUAAUACCGCAACGUCCUACGGGAGAAAGCAGGGGACCUUCGGGCCUUGCGCGGUCAGACGAACCGAUGUUCGAUUAGCUAGUUGGUAAGGUAAUGGCUUACCAAGGCGACGAUCGAUAGCUGGUCUGAGAGGAUGAUCAGCCACACUGGGACUGAGACACGGCCCAGACUCCUACGGGAGGCAGCAGUGGGGAAUAUUGGACAAUGGGCGCAAGCCUGAUCCAGCAAUGCCGCGUGUGUGAAGAAGGCCCUCGGGUUGUAAAGCACUUUUAUCAGGAACGAAAUACCACGGGCUAAUACCCUAUGGGGCUGACGGUACCUGAGGAAUAAGCACCGGCUAACUUCGUGCCAGCAGCCGCGGUAAUACGAAGGGUGCAAGCGUUAAUCGGAAUUACUGGGCGUAAAGGGUGCGUAGGCGGUUGUUUAAGUCUGUCGUGAAAUCCCCGGGCUCAACCUGGGAAUGGCGAUGGAUACUGGACAGCUAGAGUGUGUCAGAGGAUGGUGGAAUUCCCGGUGUAGGGUGAAAUGCGUAGAGAUCGGGAGGAACAUCAGUGGCGAAGGCGGCCAUCUGGGACAACAC
Molecule: ribosomal RNA, 620 nt
Filed under: Rhodanobacter sp.
Lineage: Bacteria; Pseudomonadati; Pseudomonadota; Gammaproteobacteria; Lysobacterales; Rhodanobacteraceae
Description: bacterial SSU rRNA
Rfam family: Bacterial small subunit ribosomal RNA
Source: RNAcentral